Molecule: long non-coding RNA, 5609 nt
Filed under: Brassica napus (rape)
Lineage: Eukaryota; Viridiplantae; Streptophyta; Magnoliopsida; Brassicales; Brassicaceae
Description: long non-coding RNA (BNAP_LNC002504)
Source: RNAcentral
UGAAUAACAAGAAAGUAGUAAUGGAGAAGCUGAAAGAGCAGAGACUAGAAUAACACCAACAACCAAUGCUUUGCUACUCUUAUCAGAGAUAUGUAGCAAGAUGAUCUUCAAACCGGGAAGGUAUUCUUAAAGAAGACGAGUCCACUUGUCGAUGAAGAAGAAGAAGAGUGCACGGUAGCUGUGAAGCUAAUGUUAUCAGAGACUACUUGGAUCUUGCAUCUGGUUGAGGCUACCUUCUCAAGCUGUUGAAAUCCGUUUGAUACUAUCUCCAGAUCACUGUCAAACGGAGUAUCAUAGUAUAACACCACUUCUUCAAGAUUCGGCAUUGUUUGCACGAAGUGGUUGAUCAGAUCCGACUGCUUAUCCAUGUCAUCCUUAUAAUUAGUGAUCUCUCCAAACUUCAACACCUUCAGCUUCUUCACAGGACUUGAUGAUAGCCAACUCGGAGUGCCUAACCAAGGUUUGCAUACACACCUGUCCGCACCCUUGACAAAACAUUCGUUUGUAUCUUUGAAACGGUAUCCAUCAUCAAAACAUUGGUUUGUGUCUCCGUAAUGGAGUCCCUGAAGUACAAUCAAGGAAAUUGUUAUUCUUCAGAACUUUAAAGUGUGUUUGAAAACAAAUGCAGUAAAAGGAUUUGAGAUGGUACUUCGAAAACAAGGGUUUCUAGAUUAGGACAAUUCUUGAGCAGGUUCGGCAAUGAUUCCCAAUCCACGUCUUGGUCAGUCUCAAUGGUUAAAUGAAUAAGGUUGUUGAAGACUGGUAUUGCUUUACAGCAGAAAGUAAGGACCUGAAACAACAACAAGUAACAAGAACAUGGUUCACAUGUUUAAUUCUUACAACUUACAAAGAAACUAAGAACACAUAGAUGAGAUUGGUAUAUGCUAACCUCAAGAGCCUGGGACGAUAGGUAAAGGAUCUUAACAUGACUUAUUCCCAUGAGAAAAUCUGUUGCACUUACGUCUUUCCUUAGCUUAUAGCCGUAAUGUCGGUUUACUAGAUCUCUUCCGCGAAAGACCUGACCAGGUGUCAUCCUAAUGCCUACGCUAGCUUCAACAAGCGAAUCAAGAUUCAUUUUUGGAUACUUGGCCGCAACAGUAUCAGUUAAUUCUAAGUAGACCAGACUUGGAGUGUCCAAAGACACACUCUCUGGAUUCUCCUCAUCGUACUCACAAUAGAUUAUCAGUCUCUUGAGAGUUGGGUUUGAGACAGAGCAAGCGCCACAAAAGUCCCACGUCAUUUUAACCAUAACCAACUCCUCAAGAACGUGACAACCAGAAACUAGCUUCCCAAACGCAGCACCACUCUCGUCAGCGAAAGAAACGUCAUUCAUAUGCAAAGUCUUGAGCUUUGGAAGUGAAACUUCUCUGACAUCAAUGAUGAACUCAUCUGUACCAGCUAGUUUAAGCUUAACCAACGUCUUGCUCAUCAAAACCUGUGGAGGCAAAGGAUACUCGUGUUCCGAAGAGAUGUACAGAUCAAGAUCAACUACACCACGCUCCAAUGCUUUGAGUACCCAACGGUUGACGCGAGAUGUAACACAAGCAAUUUUACACCUUAGAGAGAAUUUGUUCAACGGAGCGUUCCCUUGCAAGGCCAUGACUCUUUCCACAAAAAGCUUGAAGCUUUUACGCAAAUGGCGCCUUCUCUUUCUACCCAUUUUAGGACGGUCGUAGAUGGUGUUGUCAAGAUCGAGAUUUGUUACGAAAGCGAGAAGAUGUCUCCACCUUUUCGAGAGGACUGAGGUCAAAGCUGCAUCUUUUGUGGAGAGGAAGGAUAAGAUGUGGCAGAUGAUUGCGUCUGGUAGGCUGCUGAUCAAGUCUUUGGAGCCAGUAUCCAUCUUUUUCGAGUUCAUUGGAGACGAGUCAGAGAGUUGUGACCUGUGGAUGAAGAAACGAGGCUUGUGUAAGUAAUUAGACAAAACACACAGCAGUGGUUUGUGUUGUGCUCAAAUGCAGAAUCUGAGAACUGAGAAUCAAUAAACAUUGAGCUUGAAGCUGGGAACUUACAGAGGUUUGAAUGCUUGAAGGGGGAAAGGAAACUAGGGUUUAUGCCAUUGUCGCGGAGAGUGAAGUUGUGCUCCGUGUUGAGUCCCGACGCUGUUCGGUCGUAGAUGAGUUCAUUAGAUCUUUUCUAACUGGGCUUUGAUAUGUUGUAAAUUGUUGGCCUGAGCUUAUGUCUUUCAUCUUUGUAUUGGGCCACAGUUCUGAUCCCUUUGUUGUCUUAGCAAAAAUGAAAGAUUUUUUAGUUCUUAUGUAUUACUGGCCAAAACCCGCACUACGCCGCGGAAUAUUAUAACAUUAGUGUAAGAUUUUCAUGCUUAAACGGAACUGACUUCGAAUUAAACUGUUACUUUUUUCCCAAUAAAAAUGAAAACAACACAGUUCGAAUCAUCAGACUUAGAAGCAAGAUGGCUUGUCCCAACUUGCUAAGUAAUUGCAACUUUCUCUCUAUCUCUAGAAAGCUUCUUUCCAAACAUAAUAUAAUACUUCUUCCGUUUCCGAAAGAAAGAUUUUCUAGAGUAUUCACAUAUAUUAAGAAUAUAAUAAAUAUUUACAAUUGAAUUUAUUAUUUAUUUUACUAUACAUUUUUCAAUAAAUAUCAACCAAUAGUGUUCAACCAAUUCAAAUAUUUUCUAUUAAUAUUUCUUAAAAGUAUACAAUUUUUCAACAUUAACUACUAAAAGUACCUUAAAAUUUUAGAAAAUCUAUCAUUUUGGAACAAAAAAUAAAUCUAAAAAAUCCUACUUUCAGAAACAGAAGGAAAUAGAAGGAGUGUGUGUUUUAUCCCCUUCGUCUACUUGGCUUUAACUGUCAUUUGAUAAUAUAAACUACAUCUUCGAAAAACUCCUAGCAUUAGUGUUUCAAAUGCACUUGGCAGAAGAUUUAUCGGCACUUCUUCUAUCAUCCUCCUACCCUGAAGUUGGUGUUUCUGCUGUAAACAUAAGUGUCUCUUCCUUAAACGAUAUAGAAAAUUUAUAAAUUCUAAAAUGUAAAAACAUUAACAUAUUUUAUAAAUAUUAAUGCACUUGUUUUGACUAUUCGUACACCAUCUUGUACCAGCAAGCACAUAUGGUCAUCACACAAAUAUCCCUAGCCAAAUCAUCAUUCUGAUUUCUGAUCUUUUAGAAUAAAUACACAUAUUUUUUUUUGCAAAUUUGCAUCAUCUUGAAAUGCAUCAGUUUUGGUUAGUCUAUUAAUAAUAACACUGUAUAUAUGACCAAACACUAAAGUUUCACAAUGCACUUUAAAAAAAAAAAACAUAAACUGAAAUAGUGAAAAGUCUAACUACUUUACUCAGAGACCUAAAAUAUAUUUUUUUUGUAAUCCUCAGAGACCUAACAUUUUCGCCAUAUUCAUUUCAAACAUCCCCUAUAUAUUAAUUGAAGAUCUUUUAAAAAGUUAUAACCUGAAUUUUGUAAAAAUUAAAAAAAAUUCAUCUUAUGCGGCAGUUGUGUAUGCCUUCUAAAUCCUAUUUCAAAGAAUUCUAGAGCAUUUUAUCUAAACUAUAGUCUAAAAAUUAUACUCUCUAGCAAAAUAAUAUUUUGCAGACUAUAGUUGGUCGCAUAUAUCAAAUCUUCAUUGUUUCGCAGACUUUCCUUAAAUAAAACCUACGAAAUUACCUAAUGUGAUUAAAAUAUAUAUAUAGCAAUUAAUGAUUUUAAACAAUAAAGAUUUGAUAACAAUUUGUAUACUUUUUAUCAUUUUUGUUUAUUUCCUUAUUAUUAAAAUAAAUUAAAUAAUUACAUUAAUCAUAUAAUAAAAAUUUUGAUUUUUUUUAUAUGUUGUAUUUUGAAUUUUUCAAAAUGAGUAUAAAUUACUAAAACUAUUAAAAGUCUCACAUAAACUUUUAUGAUCAAAGUUUAAAUUUUUUUCUAUAUUAAGAUACAAUGAUUUUUUUUUUGCCAUCAACAAACGAUCACUAGCUGAAGCCAUUAUAACAACAAUGCUAUACUAAAAAGGUUGUAGAGAAAAGAUGUGAUUGACAUACAAACCUCAAGUGUUUUGGCAGAUAGAUAUAAGAUCUCAACAUUGCAUAAUCCAAAAAGAAAAUUUGUUGCAUUACCAACCAUCUCCUUCUCCUCCUCUUCAUACUCUUCAGAGAAAUAGCCAUCUUCUUCAGAAAAGUCUGCAUCUGCACUUUGAUCUUCAGAGAGUCGAAGGCCGAUAUGAGCUUCAACAAGCGAACUGAAAUUAACCUUAGGAUACUCUCUCGCAAUAUUAUCAGAAUAUUCCAAGUACUCAAGGCUUGGAGUAUCAAACGCAACGCUCAUUGGAUUCUCAUCAAAGUCAUCCAAGAAGAUCGUUAGCCUCUUGAGGGUUGUGACAGAAACAGAGCAAAACUCCCAGUUUUCCCACCCCAUAUUCGUGAGAACCAACUCCUCAAGCACGGGACAGCCAGAGAGAAGCCUCGCAAACCCAACACCUUCUUCUUCAAACACAACGGAAUCAAUAUCAAGAAUCUUAAGCUUUGGAAGAAACACAUCUUCAACAUCAGCGCUGAAAGCGACAUCAUGUCCCUCUCCUAGUUUCAACCUAACCAGUGUCUUGCUAACAAAGAUCUCAUGAGGCAAGGGAUACUCCGAGAGGAGGCGUAGAUCAAGAUCGGAAACGCUGUGUCCCAACGCAUGUAGUAUCCAAACAGUGACGUGAACUGAAUCAGGAUUAUCAGUUAAGCUCAGAGAGAAUCUGUUUAAAGGAGCAGUCCCUUGGAGAUCCAAUAACAUAUCAACAAACUCCAUGAAACUUGGACUGUUGCCGUUGCUUUUAAAAUCAAGAUUUGUCACAGAGGCAAACAAAAAGCGCCACCUUUUAGAGAGAACUGAUGUGGAAGCUGCUUCUUUUGUCGGAAGGAAAGACAAGAUGUGGGAGAUGAUAGGAUCUGGCAGACCGCUGAACAUAUCUUUCGAGACAAAAUCCAAUGUUUCUUUCGAACAGAACUUACAACCUACAAUAACAAAACACGAGAUUCUCAAACUGAAAACAGUUACAAAGGCUUGUCUUUUACACAUAUCGCAAGUGGAAGAAGAAGAAACUUACUUGGAGGCCACCAAGACGAACUUGAAACUGAAAAAGUAGGGUUUUUUCAAUUGUCUAUCGUUGCUUUCUAAUGAGAGAUACGAGCAAUGUGGCGGGAUGGGUGGCUUCCAAAGUCGAACGAUGUCGUAUAAGUGGUGGUAGCACUCACCGCUCAGAAACGACACAGUAUAGGUGACCAAUGUGAUUAGAGACUGUAGAACGCAUACUAUGAGAAGCUGAGACAGCAAGACAAUGAUGGAGAAAAACAAAGCAUAAAAGCAGAAUUCUUUUUGAACAACAAACAUAACAGAGAAGGUUCCUUGGAGUGUAGCAAACUUUACAAAGACAUGAAUAACAAGAAAGUAGUAAUGGAGAAGCUGAAAGAGCAGAGACUAGAAUAACACCAACAACCAAUGCUUUGCUACUCUUAUCAGAGAUAUGUAGCAAGAUGAUCUUCAAACCGGGAAGGUAUUCUUAAAGAAGACGAGUCCACUUGUCGAUGAAGAAGAAGAAGAGUGCACGGUAGCUGUGAAGCUAAUGUUAUCAGAGACUACUUGGAUCUUGCAUCUGGUUGAGGCUACCUUCUCAAGC